This 253-nucleotide ribosomal RNA is filed under the name uncultured bacterium. RNAcentral's name for it is "partial 16S ribosomal RNA". It matches the Rfam family "Bacterial small subunit ribosomal RNA", at positions 524 to 776 of the family's 1533-position model. The record is from RNAcentral.
UACGUAGGGUGCAAGCGUUAAUCGGAAUUACUGGGCGUAAAGCGUGCGCAGGCGGUUUUGUAAGUCUGAUGUGAAAUCCCCGGGCUCAACCUGGGAAUUGCAUUGGAGACUGCAAGGCUAGAAUCUGGCAGAGGGGGGUAGAAUUCCACGUGUAGCAGUGAAAUGCGUAGAGAUGCGGAGGAACACCGAUGGCGAAGGCAGCCCCCUGGGUCAAGAUUGACGCUCAUGCACGAAAGCGUGGGUAGCGAACAGG